GAUGAACGCUGGCGGCGUGCCUAAUACAUGCAAGUCGAGCGAACAGACGAGGAGCUUGCUCCUCUGACGUUAGCGGCGGACGGGUGAGUAACACGUGGAUAACCUACCUAUAAGACUGGGAUAACUUCGGGAAACCGGAGCUAAUACCGGAUAACAUGUUGAACCGCAUGGUUCAACAGUGAAAGACGGUCUUGCUGUCACUUAUAGAUGGAUCCGCGCCGCAUUAGCUAGUUGGUAAGGUAACGGCUUACCAAGGCAACGAUGCGUAGCCGACCUGAGAGGGUGAUCGGCCACACUGGAACUGAGACACGGUCCAGACUCCUACGGGAGGCAGCAGUAGGGAAUCUUCGGCAAUGGGCGAAAGCCUGACGGAGCAACGCCGCGUGAGUGAAGAAGGUCUUCGGAUCGUAAAACUCUGUUAUUAGGAAAGAACAAAUGUGUAAGUAACUAUGCACGUCUUGACGGUACCUAAUCAGAAAGCCACGGCUAACUACGUG
This 497-nucleotide ribosomal RNA is filed under the name uncultured bacterium. RNAcentral describes it as "partial 16S ribosomal RNA". It matches the Rfam family "Bacterial small subunit ribosomal RNA", at positions 28 to 507 of the family's 1533-position model. The record is from RNAcentral.